CCAAUAGCGUAUAUUAAAGUUGCUGCAGUUAAAAAGCUCGUAGUUGAAUUUCGGGACCAAUAUGUCGGUCGUGCCUCGGUACGUACUGGCAUCGUUGGUUUCUCCCUUCUGACGAACCAUGAUGUCAUUUAUUUGGUGUCGUGGGGAAUCAGGACUGUUACUUUGAAAAAAUUAGAGUGCUUAAAGCAGGCUCACGCUUGAAUACAUUAGCAUGGAAUAAUGAAAUAGGACGUUUGAUUCUAUUUUGUUGGUUUCUAGGAUCGACGUAAUGAUUAAUAGGGAUAGUUGGGGGCAUUAGUAUUCAAUUGUCAGAGGUGAAAUUCUUGGAUUUAUUGAAGACUAACUACUGCGAAAGCAUUUGCCAAGGAUGUUUUCAUUAAUCAAGAACGAAAGUUAGGGGAUCGAAGACGAUCAGAUACCGUCGUAGUCUUAACCAUAAACUAUGCCGACUAGGGAUCGGAUGAUGUUAAUUUUUUAAUGACUCAUUCGGCGCCUUACG
This 499-nucleotide ribosomal RNA is filed under the name uncultured Glomeromycotina. RNAcentral describes it as "partial small subunit ribosomal RNA". It matches the Rfam family "Eukaryotic small subunit ribosomal RNA", at positions 591 to 1092 of the family's 1831-position model. The record is from RNAcentral. Lineage: Eukaryota; Fungi; Glomeromycota.